GACGGGCCUCCCCGCAUGGGGGCGCGGCCAAACGGGUCAGGUCGGGAACGAAGCAGCCCUAACCGUUUGCCACCAGUGCCGGGGUUCAGGCUCGUCACCCUUCU
RNAcentral lists this signal recognition particle RNA (104 nucleotides) under Leptothrix cholodnii SP-6. RNAcentral's name for it is "SRP RNA; RNA component of signal recognition particle". It matches the Rfam family "Bacterial small signal recognition particle RNA". From Rfam's summary of the family: The signal recognition particle (SRP) is a universally conserved ribonucleoprotein involved in the co-translational targeting of proteins to membranes. Archaeal SRP consists of a 7S RNA and homologues of the eukaryotic SRP19 and SRP54 proteins. The record is from RNAcentral. Lineage: Bacteria; Pseudomonadati; Pseudomonadota; Betaproteobacteria; Burkholderiales; Sphaerotilaceae.